AUAAACAGCCCCAGAGACACUUUGAAAGGAAGAGUGCAGUCACUCAGUGACACAGCUAUGUCGCCUCCGAAGAGCCACCGCGCCAACUAUCCUUGGUGCCAGUUACAUCAGGGGUACCAGGCACACACACACACACACACACACUGCUGUGGGACAGUUUUUUUCAUUAUUGAGACAUUCCUUCCUGCAGAGAAGCUCCUUAAGACAGGAAGGAAAACAACUCAAAAUAGCUUCAAGAAGUCUCUGAACCUGACUAGAUUCGCUGGGCUACUCUCUGUCGGUAAACAAUUAAAGCUGACCAAAAUCGCUGAACUGCAAAGAAGAUGUUGAGAGCCGGCCUGAUGCUUGGAAGAUGCAGCCUUCAAAGCUGCCUGGAAGAGGUUUAGACCAACUGAGGCACCCGGAAAGGACACGCUCCAGCCUGCAGAGCUGUCUGCAGGCUGCGUAGUAUGCUCCAGGUCUGCAGCUUUGUGGGCUGUCACCCGAGCUGGGGUGGGCUUCGGUGAAGGAGCCAUCUUUGAGUCAUUUCUGCUCCCGUAGAUAACCCCUUGCUCAUAUUGCUAUGAGUAACCCCAAUAAAAGUCAUUGGCUCACCUA
Apodemus sylvaticus (European woodmouse) is the source of this 597-nucleotide long non-coding RNA. RefSeq lists it as uncharacterized. The record is from RefSeq and is a predicted model, not a curated record. Lineage: Eukaryota; Metazoa; Chordata; Mammalia; Rodentia; Muridae. The transcript is spliced from 2 exons.